GAUGAACGCUGGCGGCGUGCCUAAUACAUGCAAGUCGAGCGAACAGACGAGGAGCUUGCUCCUCUGACGUUAGCGGCGGACGGGUGAGUAACACGUGGAUAACCUACCUAUAAGACUGGGAUAACUUCGGGAAACCGGAGCUAAUACCGGAUAAUAUAUUGAACCGCAUGGUUCAAUAGUGAAAGACGGUUUUGCUGUCACUUAUAGAUGGAUCCGCGCCGCAUUAGCUAGUUGGUAAGGUAACGGCUUACCAAGGCGACGAUGCGUAGCCGACCUGAGAGGGUGAUCGGCCACACUGGAACUGAGACACGGUCCAGACUCCUACGGGAGGCAGCAGUAGGGAAUCUUCCGCAAUGGGCGAAAGCUUGACGGAGCAACGCCGCGUGAGUGAUGAAGGUCUUCGGAUCGUAAAACUCCGUUAUUAGGGAAGAACAAAUGUGUAAGUAACUAUGCACGUCUUGACGGUACCUAAGCAGAAAGCCACGGCUAACUACGU
RNAcentral lists this ribosomal RNA (496 nucleotides) under uncultured bacterium. RNAcentral's name for it is "partial 16S ribosomal RNA". It matches the Rfam family "Bacterial small subunit ribosomal RNA", at positions 28 to 506 of the family's 1533-position model. The record is from RNAcentral.